Molecule: non-coding RNA, 29 nt
Filed under: Rattus norvegicus (Norway rat)
Lineage: Eukaryota; Metazoa; Chordata; Mammalia; Rodentia; Muridae
Source: RNAcentral
CAGUGCUUUAGAAAAUGAAUUUCAACAGA